RNAcentral lists this ribosomal RNA (1342 nucleotides) under uncultured marine eukaryote. RNAcentral's name for it is "SSU rRNA". It matches the Rfam family "Eukaryotic small subunit ribosomal RNA", at positions 422 to 1777 of the family's 1831-position model. The record is from RNAcentral.
GAAGGAGCAGGCGCGCAAUUACCCAAUCCUGACUCAGGGAGGUAGUGACAAGAAAUAACAAUAAACCGGCUUAUGCCGGUUUAAUUGGAAUGAGUACAAUUUAAACAUCUUAACGAGGAACAAUUGGAGGGCAAGUCUGGUGCCAGCAGCCGCGGUAAUUCCAGCUCCAAUAGCGUAUACUAAAGUUGUUGCAGUUAAAAAGCUCGUAGUUGGAUUUCUGUGGGGACGGAGCGGCCGGCCGCAACACGCGGUUCGAGCUAGCGCUUUCCCUACAUCCUGCCGCGAACCGUGCUACCAUUAGUUUGGUGGCGCCGGGGAUCGGCUCGAUUACUUUGAGAAAAAUAGAGUGUUCAAAGCAGGCCAUACGCCUUGAAUAAGUUAGCAUGGAAUAAUAACUAAGGACUUCGGUUCUAUUUUGUUGGUGUUCGGGACUGAAGUAAUGAUUGAUAGGGACAGUUGGGGCGGUCUGUAUUCCAAAGCGAGAGGUGAAAUUCUUAGACCUUCGGAAGACAAACAGCUGCGAAAGCGUUCCGCAAGGAUGUUCCCUUUGAUCAAGAACGAAAGUUGGGGGAUCGAAGACGAUCAGAUACCGUCGUAGUCUCAACUAUAAACUAUACCAGCUAGGGAUCGGCCAACGUUAUUCUAUACCGACUUGGUCGGCACCUUAUGAGAAAUCAAAGCAUCUGGGUUCCGGGGGGAGUAUGGUCGCAAGGCUGAAACUUAAAGGAAUUGACGGAAGGGCACCACUAGCCGUGGAGCCUGUGGCUUAAUUUGACUCAACACGGGAAAACUUACCAGGUCCAGACAUAGUAAGGAUUGACAGAUUGAUAGCUCUUUCUUGAUUCUGUGGGUGGUGGUGCAUGGCCGUUCUUAGUUGGUGGAGUGAUUUGUCUGGUUAAUUCCGUUAACGAACGAGACCCCAGCCUGCUAAAUAGCGCGCGUGAGCUUUGCUCGCGGCGAGCUUCUUAGAGGGACUAUGAUGCGCGAUAGCACAUGGAAGUUUGGGGCAAUAACAGGUCUGUGAUGCCCUUAGAUGUUCUGGGCCGCACACGGGCUACACUGGCGCCUGCAACGAGCAUAUCAGCUGGCCCGAGAGGGUCUUGGCUAAUCUUUUGAACCGGCGCCGUGCUUGGGAUUGACCUUUGCAAUUGUUGGUCAUGCAACGAGGAAUGCCUUGUAAACGCGAGUCAUCAGCUCGCAUUGAAUACGUCCCUGCCCUUUGUACACACCGCCCGUCGCUCCUACCGAUGAAUGUUCCGAUGAAAUUUUCGGAGAGCACCUGUGAACUUGGCUCCGCCUUGCGAACGGGAGGCUCAAAGUCACAUAAAUCUGAACAUUUGGG